This 76-nucleotide transfer RNA is filed under the name Klebsiella pneumoniae subsp. pneumoniae. RNAcentral's name for it is "tRNA-Val". It matches the Rfam family "tRNA". From Rfam's summary of the family: Transfer RNA (tRNA) molecules are approximately 80 nucleotides in length. Their secondary structure includes four short double-helical elements and three loops (D, anti-codon, and T loops). Lineage: Bacteria; Pseudomonadati; Pseudomonadota; Gammaproteobacteria; Enterobacterales; Enterobacteriaceae. The record is from RNAcentral.
GGGUGAUUAGCUCAGCUGGGAGAGCACCUCCCUUACAAGGAGGGGGUCGGCGGUUCGAUCCCGUCAUCAGCAAACA